UGACGCAGCACGCCGCGUGGAGGAUGACGGCCUUCGGGUUGUAAACUCCUUUUGCGGGGGACGAUUGUGACUGUACCCCGCGAAUCAGGCUCGGCUAACUCUGUGCCAGCAGCCGCGGUAAGACAGAGGAGCCAAGCGUUGUCCGGAUUGACUGGGCGUAAAGCGCACGCAGGCGGCUGGGCACGUGGGGUGUGAAACCUGGCGGCUUAACUGCCAGACGCCAUCCCAUACGGCCCGGCUCGAGGCAGGCAGAGGUUCGUGGAAUUGCCUGUGUAGUGGUGAAAUGCGUAGAGAUCAGCAGGAACACCAAGGGCGAAAGCAGCGAACUGGGCCUGUUCUGACGCUCAGGUGCGAAAGCGUGGGGAGCGAACCGGAUUAGAUACCCGGGUAGUCCACGCCGUAAACGAUGAAUACUCGGCAUCUUUCGACCGAUUUUCGGCCGAGGGGUGCCCCAGCUAACGCGAUAAGUAUUCCGCCUGGGAA
RNAcentral lists this ribosomal RNA (483 nucleotides) under uncultured Chloroflexales bacterium. RNAcentral describes it as "bacterial SSU rRNA". It matches the Rfam family "Bacterial small subunit ribosomal RNA", at positions 384 to 879 of the family's 1533-position model. Lineage: Bacteria; Bacillati; Chloroflexota; Chloroflexia; Chloroflexales. The record is from RNAcentral.